This is a non-coding RNA of Camellia sinensis, 1979 nucleotides long. The record is from RefSeq and is a predicted model, not a curated record. Lineage: Eukaryota; Viridiplantae; Streptophyta; Magnoliopsida; Ericales; Theaceae.
AAAAAAAACUAACAAACAAAUUAUUCCCAAAAUUUCCCCCCAUUUUUCGUCAUCUCCUCUUGCUCACAGUCGCUCAGCUGUCUCUCUGUCUCAGUCGCGCUCAUCUCUCUCUCUCUCAACAGCGUAGGGCAGCAGAGACGAUGGCGUGCAACGGUAGCAUCUCUCUCAGUCACGCAUCUCUCUCAGUCGCUCAUCUCUCUCAGUGGCGUCUUUCUCUUUCUCUCUCGCACACUCACUCAGUCUCAAUCGCCUCUCUCUCACUCACUCAGCGGCGUAAAGCAGCGAGGUGGCGUAGAGCAACUGUGAAUAGCGACGGUGAGUAGGGGCAGUGGCAGCAGCGUCCCACUCCAUCGUCAUCUUUUCCAAGUCCUACUGCCCGUGGUGUUGAUCUGGAGUUUUGGUGCAAUGAGGAGCCAAAGAUUAGUUCAUUCAACAGUGAUUUUGAUCUGCUCCAUAAACAGCCGUAAGUACUCAAUUGGUGUUUUCAAAUCUUUUUGAAUAAUUUACAGCUGUAAGAUUAGCUCAUAAUUGAUUUAGUGCUAUAUAUUUGUCAUAACUGAAAGGGACAUUCUAAUUUUAUAGAAUUUUUGUUGAGUUUAUUUGAAUUUUCAAUAAUAUUAUGCAUGGGUGUUUCAACAAGAAUAGGCCAACGUGGAAGGACCACCGAGUAUUUUGUUUUGCAAGUUGAGGUUGUGGAUAUCUGUUAAGCCUAACCAUUACUUUCUUGCAUGUUGUUAGUAAAUUAUGGCUUUAUGUUCUCCAAGAUUUUCAAGCAUUGAAAAUGUCAGCUAUUUCAUUUUCUCAUGCCUAACGAGAUGAAUGACAACUAUUUGAUUGCUAAAUGAUAAAAUUAGAAGCAAAAUAGAAUUUGAAAUCUCAAGGCAGGUUUUGGAUUAAUUCUAUUCUAUGGUGUUUGAAAUCCAAGUUUUAUUGUAUAAAUUAACUAGAAACAAAGACAGAAAUAGAAGCUCAAUGAACAAAUAGUGAAUAGGUGUUGAUUUUUUGUACUCUGUCUAGCUUUGCUCAACAGCCUCAACUUUAGUCUAUUAUCAAAUUUUGUUAGUUUGUAUGUGUUUUCAUUUCUUCAUAGUUAUGCUCAGUUUUUAAGAGGAAUAGAUGUUGAUUGAAGUCAAUUUGCAUGUUUCAUUUUUUGUAAUCAAAUGUGGUCAUAGAAUUUUUAAGAGGAAUAGGUGUUGAUUGAUCCAAGUACGCAGAAUUUUACCUGGAAUGAUUUAUAUUUUUUAAACUACAACCAAUGUGUCUUUAGUUUUCACGUCAUAGAAUCCAAACCAACCAUCAAUUUGACAUUCCAAACAGUGAAUAUUUGUGCCUAGUCAACAGGUUUAAGCUUAAAGUAGUAAUGUUUCUUUAUCUUUUUCUUUGAUUUUUAUUAUCCUUGUGUAGGUUUCGUUGCUAGAGCACUACUACUGUUGGAGGGCUAGAUUUCUAGAUUUAGCAUAGUUCAAUGGAGGAUUAAGGAAUUAUUAGAUUAUUAUAUUUAACAUAAUUAAAUGGAGGUUUUAUAAAUUAUUAGAAAUACUGCAAAUUGGGUUUUUCUUGCCUAAUUGAAUAAUAUUCACCUCUUUCCUGAAUAAUCAAUGGGGUUUUACCUUACUAAUGAACAUGCUCAUGUGACAUAUCAUGCUACGCUGCAGUAUGUCAAGCGCUUUAGCCGCUACAAGAAUCCAGAUUUUGUCAGACAAGCUCGAGAAGACAGAUGAUAGUUCAACAUAUUAUGACAGUCAGAAUUUGCAUAGUGGAGAUGUUGUAAAUUGGCAUUGAUUUUUGUACAUUAUUGGAAGAUUCAAGAUUUGAUAUGGACAUGUUUGGUGAUUUGGAGAGCAGAAACUACCUCAUUUUGUGUUUUUGUUCAUAUUACCUUACAUGUAUUUUGGUUGCGUUGUAAAUUUUAUAUUUUUGUUGGUAUUGCAGGACAUGUUUGGUAAUCCACACUUGAUAUUAUAUUUUUGUUGAUAUUA